GACGAACGCUGGCGGCGUGCUUAACACAUGCAAGUCGAACGGAAAGGCCCUGUUUUUGUAGCGUGCUCGUGUGGCGAACGCGUGAGAAACACGCGAGUAACCUCCCCUUGACAUUGGGAUAACUUCUGGAAAAUGGAGCUCAUACCGGACAUGAGCUCCUGCAGCAUGGUGUGGGAUGGAAAGAUUCGGCGGUUGGGCAUGGACUCGCGGCUUAUCAGCUUGUUGGUGGGGUAGUGGCUUACCAAGGCUUUGACGGGUAGCCGGCCUGAGAGGGUGACCGGCCACAUUGGGACUGAGAUACGGCCCAGACUCCUACGGGAGGCAGCAGUGGGGAAUAUUGCACAAUGGGCGGAAGCCUGAUGCAGCAACGCCGCGUGCGGGAUGACGGCCUUCGGGUUGUAAACCGCUUGCGCCUGUGACGAAGCGUGAGUGACGGUAAUGGGUAAAGAAGCACCGGCUAACUACGUG
Molecule: ribosomal RNA, 468 nt
Filed under: uncultured bacterium
Lineage: Bacteria
Description: partial 16S ribosomal RNA
Rfam family: Bacterial small subunit ribosomal RNA
Source: RNAcentral